Molecule: ribosomal RNA, 604 nt
Filed under: Lactarius sp. KIINA
Lineage: Eukaryota; Fungi; Basidiomycota; Agaricomycetes; Russulales; Russulaceae
Description: eukaryotic LSU rRNA
Rfam family: 5.8S ribosomal RNA (bases 181-334)
Source: RNAcentral
CAAAAGUUGUGCACGCCUGAGCGCGUCCUCUCACAUAACAUCCAUCUCACCCUUUUGUGCACCACCGCGUGGGCACCCUUUGGGAUCGAACCGAUCCGGGAGGGGGCUUGCGUUUUCACACAAACCCCUUUUAAAAAAAGUGUAGAAUGUCCCCAUUUUGCGAUGACACGCAAUCAAUACAACUUUCAACAACGGAUCUCUUGGCUCUCGCAUCGAUGAAGAACGCAGCGAAAUGCGAUACGUAAUGUGAAUUGCAGAAUUCAGUGAAUCAUCGAAUCUUUGAACGCACCUUGCGCCCCUUGGUAUUCCGAGGGGCACACCCGUUUGAGUGUCGUGAAAAUCUCAACCUUCUCGGUUUUCUUCUGGACACUGAAGGAGGCUUGGACUUUGGAGGCCUUUGCUGGCAUCUCUCUCUUUUUGAGAGCCAGCUCCUCUUAAAUGAAUUAGCAGGGUCCUCUUUGCCGAUCCUCGACAUGUGAUAAGAUGUUUCCAUGACUUGGUUUCUGGCUCUGUUGCCUUUGGGACCUGCUUCUAACCGUCUCAAAUGAGACAACGGUUUGGGUGUGUCUCCCUCCUCGGGGAAACACUCUCAACCCCACUGACC